This 464-nucleotide ribosomal RNA is filed under the name uncultured bacterium. RNAcentral's name for it is "partial 16S ribosomal RNA". It matches the Rfam family "Bacterial small subunit ribosomal RNA", at positions 338 to 795 of the family's 1533-position model. The record is from RNAcentral.
CCUACGAGAGGCAGCAGUAGGGAAUUUUCGGCAAUGGGGGGAACCCUGACCGAGCAACGCCUCGUGAAGGAAGCAGGAAUUCGUUCUGUAAACUUCUGUUAUAACGGAAGAAAGACGGAUGGAGGAAAUGACAUCCGAGUGCCGGUACUUUAUGAGAAAGCCACGGCGAACUACGUGCCAGCAGCCGCGGUAAUGCGUAGGUGGCAAGCGGUAUCCGGAAUUAUUGGUCGUAAAGAGGGAGCAGGCGGACGAAAAGGUCUGGGGUGAAAGACUGAAGCUUAAAUUCAGUAAGCCAUAGAAACCGGGCAGCUAGAGUGCAGGAGAGGAUCGUGGAAUUCCAGGUGUAGCGGUGAAAUGCGUAGAUAUAUGGAGGAACACCAGUGGCGAAGGCGACGAUCUGGCCUGCAACUGACGCUCAGUCCCGAAAGCGUGGGGAGCAAAUAGGAUUAGAUACCCCAGUAGUC